This 254-nucleotide ribosomal RNA is filed under the name uncultured archaeon. RNAcentral's name for it is "partial 16S ribosomal RNA". It matches the Rfam family "Archaeal small subunit ribosomal RNA", at positions 474 to 727 of the family's 1478-position model. The record is from RNAcentral.
CACCGGCGGCCCGAGUGGUGGCCACUAUUAUUGGGUCUAAAGGGUCCGUAGCCGGUUUGGUCAGUCUUCCGGGGAAUCUGACGGCUCAACCGUUAGGCUUUCGGGGGAUACUACCAGGCUUGGGACCGGGAGAGGUAAGAGGUACUACGGGGGUAGGAGUGAAAUCUUGUAAUCCCUGUGGGACCACCAGUGGCGAAGGCGUCUUACCAGAACGGGUCCGACGGUGAGGGACGAAAGCUGGGGGCACGAACCGG